AUUGAACGCUGGCGGCAGGCCUAGCACAUGCAAGUCGGACGGUAGCACAGAGAGCUUGCUCUCGGGUGACGAGUGGCGGACGGGUGAGUAAUGUCUGGGGAUCUGCCCGAUAGAGGGGGAUAACCACUGGAAACGGUGGCUAAUACCGCAUAACGUCGCAAGACCAAAGAGGGGGACCUUCGGGCCUCUCACUAUCGGAUGAACCCAGAUGGGAUUAGCUAGUGGGCGGGGUAACGGCCCACCUAGGCGACGAUCCCUAGCUGGUCUGAGAGGGUGAACAGCCACACUGGAACUGAGACACGGUCCAGACUGCUACGGGAGGCAGCAGUGGGGAAUAUUGCGCAAUGGGCGCAAGCCUGAUGCAGCCAUGCCGCGUGUAUGAAGAAGGCCUUCGGGUUGUAAAGUACUUUCAGCGGGGAGGAAGGCGAUGUGGUUAAUAACCGCAUUGAUUGACGUUACCCGCAGAAGAAGCACCGGCUAACUCCGUGCCAGCCGCCGCGGUAA
Molecule: ribosomal RNA, 504 nt
Filed under: uncultured bacterium
Lineage: Bacteria
Description: partial 16S ribosomal RNA
Rfam family: Bacterial small subunit ribosomal RNA
Source: RNAcentral